Non-coding RNA from Felis catus (domestic cat), 46 nucleotides. Lineage: Eukaryota; Metazoa; Chordata; Mammalia; Carnivora; Felidae. The record is from Rfam.
CAAAAGGCCCUUCUCAGGGCUCCCCCCACUCUCACAGAGGAGCCGU